RNAcentral lists this ribosomal RNA (416 nucleotides) under Sphingomonadaceae bacterium Ellin7004. RNAcentral describes it as "bacterial SSU rRNA". It matches the Rfam family "Bacterial small subunit ribosomal RNA", at positions 29 to 490 of the family's 1533-position model. The record is from RNAcentral. Lineage: Bacteria; Pseudomonadati; Pseudomonadota; Alphaproteobacteria; Sphingomonadales; Sphingomonadaceae.
AAUGAACGCUGGCGGCAUGCCUAACACAUGCAAGUCGAACGAGACCUUCGGGUCUAGUGGCGCACGGGUGCGUAACGCGUGGGAAUCUGCCCUUGGGUUCGGAAUAACAGUGAGAAAUUACUGCUAAUACCGAAUGAUGACGUAAGUCCAAAGAUUUAUCGCCCAGGGAUGAGCCCGCGUAGGAUUAGCUAGUUGGUGAGGUAAAAGCUCACCAAGGCGACGAUCCUUAGCUGGUCUGAGAGGAUGAUCAGCCACACUGGGACUGAGACACGGCCCAGACUCCUACGGGAGGCAGCAGUGGGGAAUAUUGGACAAUGGGCGAAAGCCUGAUCCAGCAAUGCCGCGUGAGUGAUGAAGGCCUUAGGGUUGUAAAGCUCUUUUACCCGGGAUGAUAAUGACAGUACCGGGAGAAUAAG